CUUCGGAGCCUCGCUUCAUUUCGCCCAACACUAGCUUGAAACUCUUCUCUGAACAGAUCAAACUUCACUCUGUGAUCCUCGAAUAUGUUUUUUGAAGAGCUCCAGAUGCAAAAAGGUCAACAGUAAACCGGAAAAAGAAGAAAAGGCGAAGUUAGCGGGAAAAGGUGGAACAGCUGAGAAGGUUGUUGAAACAGCGGCUAACUGCUGCUAAUACCGAGAUAUUUGAGUUGGUAGAAACAAACACAUCACAGAGCAGCAAGAAGAAACGAGUCAACGUGCUGAAGACUGUUUUCAAGCUUGACGUUCGCUGAUCCAGAGCAGAUGGUGGAACCAUACAUCUGUUAGGAAACUUUUAUCAGCUGAUUGCAGCAGGUACAUUAGGAAAAUGUGCAUGCCAUGUGAUCUCGGAUCAGGGUUGGUGUCUCCUGCUUUAAGACAUCUGUCCCAGCACAGAGACAUUUUGGUGUUGUCUCACACUUGUGAUUGGUCAGCCUGGGCAGCAGAGCAGCAGCAGGUGAUUAAAUCGGCCUGUUUUUAGUCUUUUCACCACUUGGCCGUUGACGCUCUCUUUCUUUUGUGUGUUUUAAAAUCUUUCUACAAAUAUGUCUGAAGUCCAGCAGCUGAGGGACAAG
Molecule: long non-coding RNA, 632 nt
Organism: Thalassophryne amazonica
Lineage: Eukaryota; Metazoa; Chordata; Actinopteri; Batrachoidiformes; Batrachoididae
Exons: 3
Source: RefSeq, a predicted model, not a curated record